Molecule: long non-coding RNA, 315 nt
Organism: Leopardus geoffroyi (Geoffroy's cat)
Lineage: Eukaryota; Metazoa; Chordata; Mammalia; Carnivora; Felidae
Exons: 2
Source: RefSeq, a predicted model, not a curated record
AGCCCGAUGCGGGGCUCGAACUCACCAACUGAGAGAUCAUGACCUGAGCCGAAGUGGGACGCUCAACCGACUGAGACACCCGGGCGCCCCAAGAAUCUCGACUUAAAGGAGCAGUGGGUGACGGAAAUCCCAAGGAGGACACUGAGGAGGCCUCGGGGGCUUCCUCAAGUGAAAUGAGGGGGUCGGAUGCAUCCAUCUGUGCUCUCACACCAGCCUGUUUACCCACUCCCCCUUGAAAAAACUAAUUUCCCCCUCGUGAGGCCUUGAAGUCUGGAAGGGUGUUGUCUACAAUAAAGAGCGCGAGUGAAGAAAGCA